GUAGGUGGCAAGCGUUGUCCGGAAUUAUUGGGGCGUAAAGCGCGCGCAGGCGGUUCUUUAAGUCUGAUGUGAAAGCCCACGGGCUCAACCGUGGAGGGUCAUUGGAAACUGGAGAACUUGAGUACAGAAGAGGAAAGCGGAAUUCCACGUGUAGCGGUGAAAUGCGUAGAGAUGUGGAGGAACACCAGUGGCGAAGGCGGCUUUCUGGUCUGUAACUGACGCUGAGGCGCGAAAGCGUGGGGAGCAAACAGGAUAGAUACCCUGGUAGUCCACGCCGUAAACGAUGAGUGCUAAGUGUUAGGGGGUUUCCGCCCCUUAGUGCUGCAGCUAACGCAUUAAGCACUCCGCCUGGGGAGUACGGCCGCAAAGGCUG
RNAcentral lists this ribosomal RNA (373 nucleotides) under uncultured organism. RNAcentral describes it as "partial 16S ribosomal RNA". It matches the Rfam family "Bacterial small subunit ribosomal RNA", at positions 527 to 896 of the family's 1533-position model. The record is from RNAcentral.